RNAcentral lists this ribosomal RNA (805 nucleotides) under uncultured bacterium. RNAcentral's name for it is "bacterial SSU rRNA". It matches the Rfam family "Bacterial small subunit ribosomal RNA", at positions 60 to 825 of the family's 1533-position model. The record is from RNAcentral.
AGUCGAGCGAGCUUGCCUAGAUGAUUUUAGUGCUUGCACUAAAUGAAACUAUAUACAAGCGAGCGGCGGACGGGUGAGUAACACGUGGGUAACCUGCCCAAGAGACUGGGAUAACACCUGGAAACAGAUGCUAAUACCGGAUAACAACACUAGACGCAUGUCUAGAGUUUGAAAGAUGGUUCUGCUAUCACUCUUGGAUGGACCUGCGGUGCAUUAGCUAGUUGGUAAGGUAACGGCUUACCAAGGCAAUGAUGCAUAGCCGAGUUGAGAGACUGAUCGGCCACAUUGGGACUGAGACACGGCCCAAACUCCUACGGGAGGCAGCAGUAGGGAAUCUUCCACAAUGGACGAAAGUCUGAUGGAGCAACGCCGCGUGAGUGAAGAAGGGUUUCGGCUCGUAAAGCUCUGUUGGUAGUGAAGAAAGAUAGAGGUAGUAACUGGCCUUUAUUUGACGGUAAUUACUUAGAAAGUCACGGCUAACUACGUGCCAGCAGCCGCGGUAAUACGUAGGUGGCAAGCGUUGUCCGGAUUUAUUGGGCGUAAAGCGAGUGCAGGCGGUCCAAUAAGUCUGAUGUGAAAGCCUUCGGCUCAACCGGAGAAUUGCAUCAGAAACUGUUGAACUUGAGUGCAGAAGAGGAGAGUGGAACUCCAUGUGUAGCGGUGGAAUGCGUAGAUAUAUGGAAGAACACCAGUGGCGAAGGCGGCUCUCUGGUCUGCAACUGACGCUGAGGCUCGAAAGCAUGGGUAGCGAACAGGAUUAGAUACCCUGGUAGUCCAUGCCGUAAACGAUGAGUGCUAAGUGUUG